This 503-nucleotide ribosomal RNA is filed under the name uncultured bacterium. RNAcentral describes it as "partial 16S ribosomal RNA". It matches the Rfam family "Bacterial small subunit ribosomal RNA", at positions 28 to 523 of the family's 1533-position model. The record is from RNAcentral.
GAUGAACGCUGGCGGCGUGCCUAAUACAUGCAAGUCGAACGAAGAUCUAGCUUGCUAGAUCUUAGUGGCGAACGGGUGAGUAAUACAUAAAUAAUCUGCCCAUAUGACUGGGAUAACUAUUGGAAACGAUAGCUAAUACCGGAUAGGUUGAUUGGAGGCAUCUCUGAUUAAUUAAAGUAGGAUUUCUACACAAAUGGAUGAGUUUAUGGCGCAUUAGUUAGUUGGUGGGGUAACGGCCUACCAAGACGAUGAUGCGUAGCCGACCUGAGAGGGUGGCCGGCCACACUGGGACUGCGAAACGGCCCAGACUCCUGCGGGAGGAAGCAGUAGGGCAUUUUCGGCAAUGGGCGCAAGCCUGACCGAGCAACGCCGCGUUAGUGAUUAAGGCCUUCGGGUUGUAAAGCUCUGUUGUAAGGGAACAACAUCCAGGAUAGGAAAUGAUCUUGAACUGACGGUACCUUACCAGAAAGCCACGGCUAACUACGUGCCAGCAGCCGCCGUAA